Long non-coding RNA from Brassica napus (rape), 472 nucleotides. RefSeq lists it as uncharacterized. NCBI's taxonomy places the organism in Eukaryota, Viridiplantae, Streptophyta, Magnoliopsida, Brassicales, Brassicaceae. The transcript is spliced from 2 exons. The record is from RefSeq and is a predicted model, not a curated record.
UACUCAGGAUAUGGCACAAAGUCGCCGCCAUUUCAAGUCUUUGAUUUGAUGCUCUAACGAAGGUACUGACUUCGUCUUGUUUAUCCUUGACAUAUCUCUUUCUUCCACAGUUUGGUGGCUUGUUGACUGCUGGGAUUGUGGCCUUUUCCGGCUGGCCCGUGUUACAUGGUAGCAUUGCGCGAGGACAAGAAGUUUUCUACCUUGGCACCAUUCCGAGGCUUUGCGUUCAUUGCUGCAUGGGCAACUCUACUUUUUUAAAGAAUUUCAAAUCAUCUUUACUGUCAAUUUGUGGUCAUUCUUCUGCCUUAUCCUACUUAUGGAGAAGCUUUGUCCUUCUUAUGAACUCAAUGUUUUCUCCUCAAAGAUUGCUUAAUAUAUAAAUGUAAUCACCAGAUUAUGUUAGCUACGUGCUUUGCUUGUUGAAUUUGUUGCUGGAAAUAUUAUAUAUAUAAAAAUGGCCAGAUUAAUGUAA